This 127-nucleotide small RNA is filed under the name Marmota monax (woodchuck). The record is from RNAcentral. Lineage: Eukaryota; Metazoa; Chordata; Mammalia; Rodentia; Sciuridae.
GCUGGGCAUGGUGGAGCAUAUCUGUAAUUCCAGCAGCUCAGGAGGCUGAGGCAGGAGGAUUCUGAGUUCAAAGCCAGUGUCAGCAAGUUAGCGAGGCCCCAAGCAACUCAGAGAGAUCCUGCAUCUA